Podarcis raffonei (Aeolian wall lizard) is the source of this 3570-nucleotide long non-coding RNA. RefSeq lists it as uncharacterized. The record is from RefSeq and is a predicted model, not a curated record. The transcript is spliced from 5 exons. NCBI's taxonomy places the organism in Eukaryota, Metazoa, Chordata, Lepidosauria, Squamata, Lacertidae.
GCUGUUUUGCAGUCCUCCCUUUGAAAACCGUAGAAGACUGGAAACGCAACCCAGUGAAAGCCUUUCUAAGUCUACAUACAGAGAGGUCUGAAAACAUUUUUUCAAAGCCGAAAGAGGUUUUGAAACACUGUUUGAAACAUUCGGUCAUAACCUGCAGGACUAUCAGUCACAUACUCUUGACUACUGUUACAGAACUCGUAACCUCGCCUCCUCUUUUGAUGCACCUUAUGGAGCUUGUAAUAGACAAAUGUUCACUGUAUUACUAAAUGUUGCUAUUUAUGUGCAUUGAAAAGCUGUAUUUGAUUGUUUCUACUUUCUUAAGCACAAAGAAAACGCCGUGCUUUUCUAUGUUUUUGUUCAUUCUGUGGAAUUGGGGCACAGAAAAACUGAGCAAAUUUCUCCCCUGGAUAAGGUAGGUUGCAGGCAUUAUUGUCUUGAAUACAGGUAGUCUGAACCACAACUGGUUAAUAAUGAAGGUCCAGUCCACACUGACAAAUUUUACCAUGUGACUCUGUAUGUGGGUAUGCUACUGUAUAAAGGAAGAUUGUAUAUGGUUGCCAUCUUCGUGCUUUCAGCUGCUGGAAAAAUGCAACCAUUAUCAUGAAAAAGGCUUCAGUUUCCCAUGUGUACAGCCUGUAUCAUGCUAGCCUUUCCUUUCAUGUACAUGAUCACACAAACAGGAUAGCUGUAUUCUUAUUCAAACCAUGGUUGUAGACAGUUUUUCUCCCAGUAUAAAAUAGAUAUAUGUGUAGCCCCUUUGCUGUGUGUACCGAACCACCAAAAACUCAAAUACAAGUAUGGCUGCAAUUGAGAAAAUCUACAGAGUUUAUCAUAGGCCAGUUGUGGACUGAUCUGUAGGUCAUUUGUACAUUGAUCUAUGUAGGAAAAAUCCUUAGCUACAUAAAUCAAAAUGUAAACUCUCGAAGAAACUCUUUUAAAAUAACUUUUAGAAAUGAAUCUUACAAAUCACAAAUAGAUAUUUAACGUUCGUUAUCCUAGACUAAGAUUUUAAAAAGUAUUCCUGAAGGACACAUUUCAAAAACAAAAGUCAAGUGUUCAUAAAUUCAGUGAAUUUGCCAUAAGCUCACCACCGCCAUCUAGUGCCACAUUUGUAUAAUGCAUUUAAAACACACUUAAAACGUUAUAUUUGCAGCUGUGUAGCCGAGUCCUGGAUCUAGCUAACUGGUUCAAUUCAGUAUGUGAGGUUCUGGCCUGCCCUGUUCCACUUGGUCUCCCCUCCCUACAGCCUACUCUUCCCCAAUUUUCACUCGCUGCGUAAAAUACAUGGGGAUUCCUGUUCCCUGGCCCUGUUAGGUUCUCCCCCUACCUUACAUGUGGUCAUCCUGUGGUGUGCAGGCUGCAUGCAGCCCUCGGCCAACUUUUGUGAAUCCUUUUGGAAUCUCCAGCUGAUUCCUCCCUCCCUGUUGCGCAGCUUUUAGCCCUAGGGAUAGCUUCUCAACCUUCCUAGCACUGAUAAGCGAGGCAGCAGGAGGGACAUGAUAGGCUCUCCUGAUGCCUGUACAGAGAGAUGGGGACGGGGAGGAGGAAAAGUGUCUUGGGGAAGGGGCUCACUCAGGCCUCACCCACACCCACCGCCUACAUGCAGCCUCCCAGUUCACAGACCACCAUUGCAUUUGACCCUCAGAGGCAAAAGGGUUGCCUGCUCAUCUUCUCGGCCCUGUGCCUUCAUGGCCGUUCGCUUUCUUAGCUCUGCAUUGUCUUUGCCAUUCUUUGUAGGAACUGUGUGCUGGGGCUCAUAUCAUAUUUCUCCUGAAAACAGUACUCUCAUUUUACUCUCAUUUCCCCCACAACAUUCCACGUAGAGAAAAUAUAUUUCUGUUAUUUUAUACAUGGUAUUUUUAUACUGCUUCCCCCCUCCUAUGUAUGCUUAUGCAAAUAUUUGUAUGUGGUGUGGGUUUUAAGGAACCAGAUGUCAUCCGAAGUGUGGUUUUUAAAGUACCAGAUGUCUCCAGAUCUGUAGUUGUAGAGAGACAAUCAAAUGUAUCCAACAAUUGUGAGAAAGGAGCCUUUGAUGAGAUUCGUACUCCCAAUGUUGUUUUACUGCCGCUAGGAAAGCAGCAUAUGUAACCAAUGUCAUGUAAGCGAAAUGAUUUGUUUUAAUUUAAACCCAAAGUGAGCAAAAAUGCACAUAUUUAUUUUUUCAAAAUAAAUUCUGUGAACAAAAAUCGUUUCAGCUGCCCUUCUCCCUUCACAAUAGCGUAUCAGAUUGAAUAGAGGUUCUGAGCCAUUUUCUUGGAGCACAGAUCAACUGGAAUCUCUCAUAUCACUGAAAGAAAAGGAGUGAGUUUGUUAACUUAAUACCCACUGAGUUGUUGGGGCCUUGAUGCAGUAAUAACAUAUGGGAUCUAUUAAGAUACGGUAUUCUUUUUGUAAUGGAGAGAUAUGUCGUAGACUGGCCAAGUCAUGUAAAGGAAUCUUAUUUAGAUCUUAUUAGCAGAACACCUGGGAGUCUCAGGGGCUCCAUUUCAAAUAUUUAGGAGCAUCAUGCAACUAUAAACAAAUUAAUAGUGUAGAUAAAGUAAUAUAGAAUAAUUACUAAUAAUACAGUAAUAAAGCAAAUACUAAAGUAUAUAUCUGGAUAGGCUUGCUUAAAUAAUAAAGAUAGGUUUUAGCAGGCUUCUAAAACAGUAUAAUGUGAAUGCUUAUCUAAUGGUCAAUAGGUAAAGCUGUUGCAUAGCUUACCUCUGUUGUAAAGGACAUUGUGAACUCCAACACACAUCGGCUCCAGCCAGCAUGGAGAAUAAUCAACGAUGAUGGGAGUUUUAGACCAACAUCUUGAAGACCAACAUCUUAAACGAAGAACAACACUGAUGUGCAUUGUUGACAAAUAUAUGGAUGGAGUGAUGAAUACUGGACAAUUUCAGAAGGCUGAAAGGGCACAUGAAGCAAUCACCUUUCAAUAUGUGCUUUGCAGUCAAGCAACCACAACUUCAUAGUAUCUGAGGCUGUAGAAAAUUGAUUUAAGUGCUUCAGUAGCUGCUAAAAUGCUUAAAGUUGACUGCCAAUAGCCUUGGAUGUCUGCUGGGACCACUAUUGAUUCCUACCCUGCCCUGGGUUUCCUUUCGCCUGCGACUCCAGUUUGAAGAAUGGUGCGACAGCCAACUUGCAGAUCUUCCAUGCUCCAGACUGGUGCUAUGUCACUGUUGGAAAUGAACAGUACUGCUUACUGCUGCCAGCAUGUGCGGUCCAGCAAGAUAAAAGGAAUAUAAAAAAAUAAGAUUGGCACAUCUAGGAAAGCAGGACUUGGCUCCAGUUCAGGUUAGUCCAAAAUCACGUUAUCAGCUUAAAAAACUGCGACCAGUUUGUUUGUUGCUUGAGUAGCAUGUAGAAGGGUUGCCCAAAUCAAGUACACACUUCCUUCUUUUUGCCAGUGGUGAAUGAUGAAUGGUGCUCAUGUAUGAAGUAAUCAUAUGAUUCAGGCUCCAUGACUUAAAAUAGAUUGCUUACUUGUGUCUUUUGAAUGGUGGUCUGUGCAGUCACAAUCACAGGAUCUGCAUCUGUGCACAGAAACUUCUAGAGCAGGGGUCGGAAAAGAUUCUGUGGCUUGGG